This is a long non-coding RNA of Onychostoma macrolepis, 2478 nucleotides long. RefSeq lists it as uncharacterized. The transcript is spliced from 5 exons. The record is from RefSeq and is a predicted model, not a curated record. NCBI's taxonomy places the organism in Eukaryota, Metazoa, Chordata, Actinopteri, Cypriniformes, Cyprinidae.
GAGUGAGUUACAUUGUUUGGUUGGGAGGAAGCAUAGCUUCUCAUGCUACCUUCAAUGUUUAGAGUCCCGGUUGAGAAACGUCGACGUUUUAAGCUCAAUCAAUAGGGACUCUUUUGUACCGGUGGUUAUUCUUGCCACUGAAGGCCACGCUGUCUGUACCGGGGAGAUAUUUCUAGGAUGGGAUUCCUGUUGCUGUCGUGGACAGUUUGAGUUUCCUCACUCGGGGACUAGAGUGGUUUUGGGGCUAUAUGGUGGAGUUUGUUGGAUGCACAUUGAGCUUUGUCGUCUUCAUCAGAUUCAAUCUUCUUCGAUAUCAUCGUCUACCAUGUCUUCAAGGAUAAGUACUACAGACAUUCAGUGACAUUCAUGUUCCCCAUUGGACUAUGCUUAACUUUCAACCAGAGUUUCCACUCCUGUUUAUAUGCUUGCAAACCCACAUACUUACAUUUCACAAAGCAACUGAGACUGUUGUUUUUCUUGUUGUUUAUUUUGUGCUUGGUUUAUGCCAACUUCUACCACACAAUAAUAAUUGGUUUAAUCUCACUUUGUGUAUUUGGUCAUUGUGUCAACAUAUUAUUUGUGUUUUAAGGUACACUUAUGAAGAAAGGUUGGUGGGCCCCUCUCUCAAAAUAUAUUGUAGUGGCUCAUUCUUUUAAAGAGAAGGGGAGCGGUUACAUCCCAGUCAGCAAACAAAUUUGGCCCAGACUUGGCAUGCAUCUGGCACAGCUGGCAUUCAUCCGGCACUGGCAUACAGCAUGUGGGCCAAACAUGGCCCGGGUUUGGCAGAGAUGGUACCGGGUUUAAGACGGCACACAAGACAUGGGCCAGAUGUCAAAUGCAGUAUUUGGCCCAGAUGUCAAAUAUAGAUAUGUGGGCCACAUAAGUAUUGCCGAUCUUGACCCACAUUUAAAAUCCAUUUCAAAUAUUUUUGACUAAAAUGCCAAUGUUUUCCCAUACAGAAAGGUAAUAUAUUCACAUAUAUGUGAAACACUUUAAAAAUAUAUUUUCAAAAUGUAUUUCAAUAUAUUUAACAAUGCAUAACAUAAAGCUCAUAUUGUGUUUGCAUGUGAAAUUAUAUUCAUGCCCCAUAUGAUUAUAUGUUAUAUUAUAGAAUAGUAUAUCCUGUUGUUUUAUUUAGCCUAUAUAAUUGACUUCAAACUGUAAAUUGAAUGAGAAUAUGAAAGCAGUGAAUGCAAAACAUUGUUUGAUGUAGGCCUACUAAACAAUACAUGAUGAAAUUUCAGGACAUUUUAUUUGACUUUUGUACUAUUUAUGUAAAUGCGUAACUUUGAUGUGUUUUUGGCCAUGUUGGCCAAUCAGAAGCCUGACAAAGUUUCAAGUAGGCGGAGAUAAUAGCGCAGGCUCCGACGUCACAAGCCAAAAACUCCGGUUUAGCUGUCUACAUGAUAACUCCUGCCAGGGUGAAGAUUUAAAAAAACUCUGGCUGCAGUGUUUUCAAAAUGUUCGGUUUCAGUGACCUGCUGCAGCGCUUGCGUGAGGACGAACGGAACAAACCACAUAGAAAAAGCUGCUGUUUUGAAAAUAACCGCGUUCGUGUGGACGGCCAAUGAGCGCGCGCGUUGAGCAUUCAAAUCACAUUUAAACUGAAGCGGAGGAGGUUACCAUGGUAACAGGGCGUCAACUCACUCAGCUGACAAGUAGCGAGAAGCUGUCUCUCUGCUCUUUUCACUGCUUUCAGGUAAGUUUAGUCCCUAAAGUUACACAAAUAAUACAUACAACUGUUCCUGACACUUUCUUACAUGUUACUGACACGUUUCUGUUGAAUCUUUACUUUACAGGAGUGGUAUAGUGUCUUCAAAAAGACCGUUAGCAUCACAACCGUUAACUAUAGAGGCUAACAAUUAGAGGAGCGUCAGAAUAAAAUACCUAAAACAGGGGAAGUUACAAAAAAAUGUGUAAUUUGAGCUGCUGACAGAGAUACAGGAAACACAGAGCUAGAGCGGAGCAGAUCUCCUGUCGAAGAACAUCUCCAAAGCACCAUGAACCAUCUGACUAGGCAGUUCGUGAAGACGGAUAACCUGGACAGAAGUCAGUUCAAGAUCCAGUCUCCACACCAGACUUCUCACUCACAAGGAUUGCUGUCUACUAGAUAUUAUGUGUACUCUUCAGACUUGGGUUCAUGCAGAUAUUAUUCAGGGACAUGAACACUUGAAUACUGCAAAAAUAGAGAAACUACCUUAUUUAAGAAUUGUGAUAAUUGUGUGAACAUUAAACAAAUAUAUAUUUAUUUUACUGUUUUUUGUUUUGUAUUCCAAAGCACCUACAAGCCAAUUCACACUGCCAUACUCCAACAGGAUGAACACACUGACCAAGCAAAACAAAUAAGCAUGUUUUUAUAGUUUUUGUGAAAGUGUGAACUGACAAUGCUGUAUGUUAGGUGUGAGAUUCAUUCAACUUGGUUUGCUGAUUAAACAUGAUUAAAUAUUUGUUCAGAAUAUUGUCGUUGUUGUGACUAUU